This 3188-nucleotide long non-coding RNA is filed under the name Mus musculus (house mouse). RNAcentral describes it as "long non-coding RNA chr12:73212062-73215250". The record is from RNAcentral. Lineage: Eukaryota; Metazoa; Chordata; Mammalia; Rodentia; Muridae.
UUUUUUUUUUUUUUUUUGGUGUGUGUGACACCUUUCCUCCCUGCUCCAGCCCCUGGCUCAAGGCAGCAGUUCAUCUGCUUUCCAGAAGAACAGUGAAUUUUCUAGGAUUUUUUUCUUAAUUUUUCUAUGAUUUAAAUGCAUUUUGUACAUUACACAUUAAUAAUAUUGAGUAUUUUGAGAAUCAAAUAAUAUGUAAAAAUGUGUUCAACUUUUAUAUUCAUAUCCUUUCACACCCUAAAAAUACCAUUAAUGAAUAUUUAAUACUAUUCAUAAUACUGUGGAUCCUAUAUCUAAUAUUGAAUACUAAAUUGUUUCAAAACAUACAAAAUAUUCUCUGGGAGUUAAGCGUAGUAAAAGAGCAUAAAAUAUUAAAAAUGAAUCAUUAAGAAAUAUAUUCAAAAGCCCUUAUAUGAUACCACCUGGCAUAGUGAGAGAGUAUUUAAAACAUAUUAUAUAUCUGUACACAUUGUCUAACAAUCAGUUUACUAGGAGAGAAAUUAAUUUUAUCACUAAGUCUAUUUUAAAAAAUUCAAAAUAGCAAAAACUCUGAAGUUAAACAUUAAGAAAAUACUAAUUUCAAGAACAGUGAGAAAAAUUAUCAAUAUUUCUAUGAUGCAUAAUAUUUUCAACUGUUGAUAUUCACCAAACAAAAUAAUUAUUUUAAGAUAUAAUUCUUUGUUAUGUCUCCCUUUUCAUUUUUGAUUUUAUUAAUUUGGAUACUAUCUCUGUGCCCUGUGGUUAGUCUGGGUUUAUCUAUCUUGUUGAUUUUCUCAAAGAACCAGCUCCUGGUUUUGUCAAUUCUUUAUAUACUUCUUUUUGUUUCUAUUUGGUUAAUUUCAGACCUGAGUUUGAUUAUUUCCUGCCAUCUACUCCUCUUGGGUAUAUUUGCUUCCUUUAGUUCUACAGGUUUCAGGUGUACUGUCAAGCUGCUAGUGUAAGUUCUUUUCAGUUUCUUUUUGAAGGCACUUAGAGCUAUGAGUUUUCCUCUUACCACUGCUUUCAUUGUGUCCCAUAAGUUUUGGUAUGAUGUGUCUUCAUUUCCAUUAAAUUCUAAAAAAAAUCUUUAAUUUCUUUAUUUCUUUCUUGACCAAGUUAUCAUUGAGUAGGGCGUUGUUUAGCUUCUGUGUGUAUGUGUGCUUUCCGUUGUUUUUGUUGGUAUUUAAGGCCAGCCUUCAUCUGUGGUGAUCUGAUAGGGUGCAUGGGGUUAUUUCGGUCUUCUUGUAUCUGUUGAGGCUGUUUUGUGACUGAUUUAUAUGGUCAGUUUUGGAGAAGGUACCGUGAGGUGCUUUAGAAUGAAAUGUUCUAUAGAUAUUUGUUAAAUCCAUUUGGUUCAUAAGUUCUAUUAGUUUUACUGUGUCUCUGUUUAGUUUGUGUUUCCAUGAUCUGUCCAUUGAUGAGAGUGGGGUGUUGAAGUCGUCCACCAUUAUUGUGUAAGGUACAAUGUGUGCUUUGAGCUUUAGUAAAGUUUCUUUUAUGAAUGUGGCUGCCCUUGCAUUUGGAGCGUAGAUGUUCAGAAUUGAGAGUUCAUCUUGGUAGAUUUUUCCUUGGACCAGUAUGGAGUGUCCUUCCUUAUCUUUUUUGAUAACUUUUGGUUGACAGUUGAUUUUAUUCCAUAUUAGAAUGGUUAUUUGAUCUUUUUCCCCCCCUUACUGCUUUAGAUAUCCUUUCUUUCUUUACUGCGUUUGGUGUUUUGAUUAUUAUAUGAUGAGAAGAAUUUCUUUUCUGGUCCAGUCUAUUUGGAGUUCUGUAGGCUUCUUGUAUGUUCAUGGGCACCUCUUUCUUUAGGUUAGGGAAGUUUUUUUUUUUUUUUCCCUAUAAUUUUGUUGAAGAUAUUUACUGGCCCUUUAAGCUGGGAAUCUUCGCUCUCUUCUAUACCUAUUAUCCUUAAGUUUAGUCUUCUCGUUGUGUCCUGAUUUCCUGGAUGUUUUGGGUUAGGAGCUUUUUGCGUUUUCUUUUACAGUUGUGUCAAUGUUUUCUAUGGUGUCUUCUGCACCUGAGAUUCUCUCUUCUAUCUCUUGUAUUCUGUUGCUAGAUCUUCUAACUCCAGGGUUGUCUCCCUUUGUGAUUUCUUUAUGGUUUCUGUUUCCUUUUUUAGAUCUUAGAUGGUUUUGUUCAUUUCCUCCCCCUAUUUGAUUGUGUUUUCCUAUAAUUCUUUAAGGGGUUUUUAUGUUUCCUUUUUAAGGACUUAUAGCUGUUUUCCUGUGUUCUCCUGUAUUUCUUUAAGGGCGUUAUUUAUGUCCUUCUUAAAUUCCUCUAUCAUUAUCAUGAGAAGUGAUUUUAGAUCUGAAUCUUGCUUUUCUGGUGUGAAGGUGUAUCCAAGACUUGCUAUGGUGGGAGAAUUGGGAUCUGAUGAUGCCAAGUAACCUUGGUUUCUGUUGCUUAUGUUCUCAUGCUUGCCUCCCGCCAUCUGAAUAUCUCCAGUGCUACCUGCUCUAUUUAUAUCUGACUGGAGCCCGUCCUUCCUGUGUCAGAACUCCUCAGAGUCCAGCUGUCUCUGGGAUCCUGAGAUCCUGGGUGUGUCAGAGCUCCUGGGAGUCAAGCUGCCUCUGGGGCCCUGAGAUCCUGGUGUGACCAAGCUCCUGGGAUCCUGGGAUCCUGUGGUCCUGGGCGUGUUAGAGCGCCUUCAAGUGGAUCUUCCUCUGGGUGUUGUGGGACUGGCUGUGGAGUUUGCGCUGGCCCAGACAGGAAGGAACCUAUGCCACUGGUCUGGCGGAGUUCCUGGGUGCCUGGGUCUCACUGGUCCUAGAUACUUCUGGUGUUAGGACAGAUGUUGUGUCCUCCUCACCUCUGAUCCUAUGAUCCUGGGAGUGUUGGAGCGCCUGGGAGUGGGUCUUCCUCUGCCUGUUAUGGAACUGGUUGUGGAGUUCACACCCAAGGUCUGCUCAGGGCACUGGUCCAGAUCUGCUUUAAACUCUUGAAAAAAUACAAUUCUAUCAUGCUAUAACUUAUUUUAAUUUUAUGAUUCAGUGAAUUUUAAUUAGUUUACAGAAUGCUGCAACAAUUUCUGUAAGUCAAACUAAACAUAUUUUUCAUUACUUUAAGAAGGUAUUUUAUAGGCCGGGCGUGGUACAUGCCUUUAAUCCCAGCACUUGGGAGGCAGAGGAAGGCAAAUUUCUGAGUUUAAGUCCAGCCUGGUCUACAGAGUGAGUUCUAGGACAACCAGGGCUACACAGAGAAACCCUGUCUCG